AGUCUACCUGCCCACUGAAUUUAUUUAAAUGGCCGCAGUAUCCUAACUGUGCAAAGGUAGCAUAAUCAUUAGUCUUUUAAUUGAAGGCUGGUAUGAAUGGUUGGACGAGAUAUUAACUGUUUCAUAAAAAUUUAUAAUAGAAUUUUAUUUUUUAGUCAAAAAGCUAAAAUAAAAUUAAAAGACGAGAAGACCCUAUAAAUCUUUAUAUAUAAACUAUUAGAAUUUUGUAGAUUUUUUUUAUUAUAAUAGUUGAUUAUAUUUUAUUGGGGUGAUAUUAAAAUUUAAUAAACUUUUAAUUGUUUAAAUCAUUAAUUUAUGAAUAAUUGAUCCGUUAAUAACGAUUAAAAAAAUAAGUUACUUUAGGGAUAACAGCGUAAUUUUUUUGGAGAGUUCAUAUCGAUAAAAAAGAUUGCGACCUCGAUGUUGGAUUAAGAUAUAAUUUUAGGUGUAGCCGCUUAAAUUUUAAGUCUGUUCGACUUUUAAAUUCUUACAU
This 493-nucleotide ribosomal RNA is filed under the name Ravinia derelicta. RNAcentral's name for it is "partial 16S ribosomal RNA". It matches the Rfam family "Bacterial large subunit ribosomal RNA", at positions 1898 to 2601 of the family's 2925-position model. Lineage: Eukaryota; Metazoa; Arthropoda; Insecta; Diptera; Sarcophagidae. The record is from RNAcentral.